RNAcentral lists this unclassified non-coding RNA (240 nucleotides) under soil metagenome. RNAcentral describes it as "partial contains 5.8S ribosomal RNA, internal transcribed spacer 2, and large subunit ribosomal RNA". The record is from RNAcentral.
AAGACUAUAGACCUGCGGAGUACCUGCGGAAGGAUCAUUACAGAGUUACUACUCCAAACCCAUUGUGAACCUUACCUAUGUUCUGUUGCCUCGGCGGCGUGGUCAGCGCCCCUCUGAAAAGAGGACGAUGCCCUCCCGCCGGCAGCACCAAACUCUUUGAAUUUUACAGCGGAUUACAGUUCUGAUUUGAAAACAAAAAAACAAGUUAAAACUUUCAACAAUGGAUCUCUAGAUCGGAAG